This 344-nucleotide ribosomal RNA is filed under the name uncultured eukaryote. Its description in RNAcentral is "SSU rRNA". It matches the Rfam family "Eukaryotic small subunit ribosomal RNA", at positions 567 to 922 of the family's 1831-position model. The record is from RNAcentral.
CCAGCAGCCGCGGUAAUUCCAGCUCCAAUAGCGUAUAUUAAAGUUGUUGCAGUUAAAAAGCUCGUAGUUGAAUUUCUGGCCGGCGCUGUUCACGGCUCUCGCAGUCGGUUCAGGAGCCUGGUCAUCCGUAUGGGAAGCUAGCACGUCCUUCAGUGGUCGGCUAGUGGAUCAUACACUUUACUUUGAAAAAAUUAGAGUGUUUCAGGCAGGCAAUUGCUUGGAUACUGCAGCAUGGAAUAAUGGAAUAGGACUUUGACCUAUUUGUUGGUUUCUUGAGGUCAAAGUAAUGAUUAAUAGGGACAGUUGGGGGCAUCCGUAUUUAAUUGUCAGAGGUGAAAUUCUUG